GCGAUAACAAUCCUGAAGCCAGCAGUUAAAUCAGAGGCUGUGGUGGUAAGACUCAGCCUCGGUAGCCAGGUAUGGUGGUUCACACCUGUAAUCCCAGCACUUUGGGAGGCCAAGGCGGGCGGAUCACCUGAGGUCAGGAGUUUGAGACUAGCCUGGCCAACAUGGCGAAACCCUCUACUAAAAAUACAAAAAGCUGGGGAGAAUCACUUGAACCUGGGAGGCGGAAGUUGUAGUGAGCCAA
This 241-nucleotide long non-coding RNA is filed under the name Pan troglodytes (chimpanzee). RNAcentral describes it as "long non-coding RNA NONPTRT005960". Lineage: Eukaryota; Metazoa; Chordata; Mammalia; Primates; Hominidae. The record is from RNAcentral.